GAUGAACGCUGGCGGCGUGCCUAAUACAUGCAAGUCGAGCGAACGGACGAGAGGCUUGCUCCCCUGAUGUUAGCGGCGGACGGGUGAGUAACACGUGGAUAACCUACCUAUAAGACUGGGAUAACUUCGGGAAACCGGAGCUAAUACCGGAUAAUAUUUUGAACCGCAUGGUUCAAAAGUGAAAGACGGUCUUGCUGUCACUUAUAGAUGGAUCCGCGCUGCAUUAGCUAGUUGGUAAGGUAACGGCUUACCAAGGCAACGAUGCAUAGCCGACCUGAGAGGGUGAUCGGCCACACUGGAACUGAGACACGGUCCAGACUCCUACGGGAGGCAGCAGUAGGGAAUCUUCCGCAAUGGGCGAAAGCCUGACGGAGCAACGCCGCGUGAGUGAUGAAGGUCUUCGGAUCGUAAAACUCUGUUAUUAGGGAAGAACAUAUGUGUAAGUAACUGUGCACAUCUUGACGGUACCUAAUCAGAAAGCCACGGCUAACUACGUG
RNAcentral lists this ribosomal RNA (497 nucleotides) under uncultured bacterium. Its description in RNAcentral is "partial 16S ribosomal RNA". It matches the Rfam family "Bacterial small subunit ribosomal RNA", at positions 28 to 507 of the family's 1533-position model. The record is from RNAcentral.